AGCAACAAAUGCCCUGCUUCCAGGAAAAGCCUCUAAGCAUCAGGUAACAUCAAAUCGUACCCCAAACCGACACAGGUGGUCAGGUAGAGAAUACCAAGGCGCUUGAGAGAACUCGGGUGAAGGAACUAGGCAAAAUGGUGCCGUAACUUCGGGAGAAGGCACGCUGACACGUAGGUGAAGUGAUUUACUCAUGGAGCUGAAGUCAGUCGAAGAUACCAGCUGGCUGCAACUGUUUAUUAAAAACACAGCACUGUGCAAACACGAAAGUGGACGUAUACGGUGUGACGCCUGCCCGGUGCCGGAAGGUUAAUUGAUGGGGUCAGCGCAAGCGAAGCUCCUGAUCGAAGCCCCGGUAAACGGCGGCCGUAACUAUAACGGUCCUAAGGUAGCGAAAUUCCUUGUCGGGUAAGUUCCGACCUGCACGAAUGGCGUAAUGAUGGCCAGGCUGUCUCCACCCGAGACUCAGUGAAAUUGAACUCGCUGUGAAGAUGCAGUGUACCCGCGGCAAGACGGAAAGACCCCGUGAACCUUUACUAUAGCUUGACACUGAACAUUGAGCCUUGAUGUGUAGGAUAGGUGGGAGGCUUUGAAGUGUGGACGCCAGUCUGCAUGGAGCCGACCUUGAAAUACCACCCUUUAAUGUUUGAUGUUCUAACGUGGACCCGUGAUCCGGGUUGCGGACAGUGUCUGGUGGGUAGUUUGACUGGGGCGGUCUCCUCCUAAAGAGUAACGGAGGAGCACGAAGGUUGGCUAAUCCUGGUCGGACAUCAGGAGGUUAGUGCAAUGGCAUAAGCCAGCUUGACUGCGAGCGUGACGGCGCGAGCAGGUGCGAAAGCAGGUCAUAGUGAUCCGGUGGUUCUGAAUGGAAGGGCCAUCGCUCAACGGAUAAAAGGUACUCCGGGGAUAACAGGCUGAUACCGCCCAAGAGUUCAUAUCGACGGCGGUGUUUGGCACCUCGAUGUCGGCUCAUCACAUCCUGGGGCUGAAGUAGGUCCCAAGGGUAUGGCUGUUCGCCAUUUAAAGUGGUACGCGAGCUGGGUUUAGAACGUCGUGAGACAGUUCGGUCCCUAUCUGCCGUGGGCGCUGGAGAACUGAGGGGGGCUGCUCCUAGUACGAGAGGACCGGAGUGGACGCAUCACUGGUGUUCGGGUUGUCAUGCCAAUGGCACUGCCCGGUAGCUAAAUGCGGAAGAGAUAAGUGCUGAAAGCAUCUAAGCACGAAACUUGCCCCGAGAUGAGUUCUCCCUGAGACUUAAAGUCUCCUGAAGGAACGUUGAAGACGACGACGUUGAUAGGCCGGGUGUGUAAGCGCAGCGAUGCGUUGAGCUAACCGGUACUAAUGAACCGUGAGGCUUAACCUUACAAC
RNAcentral lists this ribosomal RNA (1365 nucleotides) under Salmonella enterica. RNAcentral describes it as "partial 23S ribosomal RNA". It matches the Rfam family "Bacterial large subunit ribosomal RNA", at positions 1589 to 2925 of the family's 2925-position model. Lineage: Bacteria; Pseudomonadati; Pseudomonadota; Gammaproteobacteria; Enterobacterales; Enterobacteriaceae. The record is from RNAcentral.